GGAAGGAUCAUUAUUGAAUAAACCUGAUGGGUUGUUGCUGGCUCUCUAGAGAGCAUGUGCACGCCUUGUCAUCUUUAAAUCUCCACCUGUGCACCUUUUGUAGACCUUUUCAGGUCUAUGUUGUCUCAUUUACCCCAAUGUAUGUUAAUAGAAUGUUGUGACUAUAUAAUAUAUACAACUUUCAGCAACGGAUCUCUUGGCUCUCGCAUCGAUGAAGAACGCAGCGAAAUGCGAUAAGUAAUGUGAAUUGCAGAAUUCAGUGAAUCAUCGAAUCUUUGAACGCACCUUGCGCUCCUUGGUAUUCCGAGGAGCAUGCCUGUUUGAGUGUCAUUAAUAUAUAUAUCAACCUUCUCUUGUUGAAUGGUUUGGAUGUGGGGGUUUGCUGGCCUCUUAAAAGGAUUCAGCUCUCCUGAAAUGCAUUAGCAGAACAAAACCUGUUCAUUGGUGUGAUAACUAUCUACGCUAUUGAAUGUGAGGUGGCAGUUCAGCUUUCUAACAGUCCCUUGGGACAACUCAUCAUUAAUGUGACCUCAAAUCAGGUAGGACUACCCGCUGAACUUAAGCAUAUCAA
This 571-nucleotide small RNA is filed under the name uncultured fungus. RNAcentral describes it as "eukaryotic LSU rRNA". The stretch from base 177 to 330 matches the Rfam family "5.8S ribosomal RNA". Lineage: Eukaryota; Fungi. The record is from RNAcentral.